Molecule: long non-coding RNA, 442 nt
Organism: Mauremys mutica (yellowpond turtle)
Lineage: Eukaryota; Metazoa; Chordata; Testudines; Geoemydidae
Exons: 4
Source: RefSeq, a predicted model, not a curated record
AGUCUGAUUUUGUCAUCCCGAAGUUAUUGUGAAGGGUGGGAGAAGGAGAGGAACAGAUAUAACAAAUAUGUUUUGAGGAUUCUACCCCCCACCCUGAGCUGUCAAACCUCCUGAAAAAGCCAAACACACACAAAAGAGUAGACAGAAGAAGAGGAGGAAGGAAAAGAAGAACCUCUACUGUUGUCUGAUGGGGUGAAUGCCAGUUGUUACUUCAAACAGAAUCAGCAUUCCAGGAAUACAACUGUUAGAUUAUCCUUGACUCCCAGACAACUUCUGGCAGCCCAUGAGGAAGGAGCAGAGGCUAUUAAUGGUUCCUGCUGGCUGGAGGCUGCUGUUUUCAGUGGGACCUGGAGAGCCUACGAUGGAGAACAGCUGGACCUAGACUAAUUCAGUGACACAGAUAGAUCUGGAAACUCAGAGUUACAGGAAGGGAAGAUGUGGG